RNAcentral lists this ribosomal RNA (1519 nucleotides) under metagenome. RNAcentral describes it as "bacterial SSU rRNA". It matches the Rfam family "Bacterial small subunit ribosomal RNA". The record is from RNAcentral.
AGAGUAUGAUUCUGGCUCAGAACGAACGCUGGCAGCGUGGAUUAGGCAUGCAAGUCGAACGCGAAGCUGUUGAUCAAUCCUUCGGAAGAGUGAUUCAGUGGAAGGUGGCGAAAGGGUGAGUAACGCGUGGGUAACCUACCCUGAAGUUGGGGACAACUCUUCGAAAGGGGAGCUAAUACCGAAUGUGGUCCCCCCCCGCAUGUGGGGGAGACUAAAGGUGGAAUCCUUCGGGAUCUGCCGCUUCUGGAGGGGCCCGCGUGACAUCAGCUUGUUGGUGAGGUAAUGGCUCACCAAGGCUUACGUCUAGCUGGUCUGAGAGGAUGGUCAGCCACACUGGGACUGAGACACUGCCCAGACUCCUACGGGAGGCUGCAGUCGAGAAUCAUUCACAAUGCGCGAAAGCGUGAUGAUGCGACGCUGCGUGGAGGAUGAAGGCCCUAGGGUUGUAAACUCCUGUCAUGAGGGAAAAACCGCACGGAUGUAAAUAGCGUCUGUGUUUGAUGGUACCUCAAGAGGAAGCCACGGCUAACUCUGUGCCAGCAGCCGCGGUGAUACAGAGGUGGCGAGCGUUGUUCGGAUUUACUGGGCGUAAAGCGUACGUAGGUGGUUUCGUGUGUCGGGUGUGAAAGCCCACGGCCCAACCGUGGAAUUGCACUCGAAACUGCGGGACUUGAGUGCAGGAGGGGAGAGCGGAAUUCAGGGUGUAGCGGUGAAAUGCGUUGAUAUCCUGAAGAACACCGGUGGCGAAGGCGGCUCUCUGGAAUGUUACUGACACUGAGGUACGAAAGCGUGGGGAGCGAACAGGAUUAGAUACCCUGGUAGUCCACGCCGUAAACGUUGUGCACUUGGUGUGGGCGGUAUUGACCCCGUCCGUGCCGGAGCUAACGCGUUAAGUGCACCGCCUGGGGAGUACGGCCGCAAGGCUAAAACUCAAAGAAAUUGACGGGGGCCCGCACAAGCGGAGGAGCAUGUGGCUCAAUUCGAUGCAACGCGAAGAACCUUACCUGGACUUGACAUGUAACUGCAUGCCCCGGGAAACCGGGGAGGCCUUCGAGGGUGUUACACAGGUGCUGCAUGGCUGUCGUCAGUUCGUGCCGUGAGGUGUUGGGUUAAGUCCCGCAACGAACGCAACCCUUGUGUUUAGUUGCCACCGGUGGUGAUGAGCCACCGAGCACUCUAAACAGACUGCCUGUACAAGCAGGAGGAAGGUGGGGAUGACGUCAAGUCAGUAUGGCCCUUAUGUCCAGGGCUGCACACGUGCUACAAUGGCCGGUACAAUGGGAAGCAAUACCGCGAGGUGGAGCAAAUCCUCAACACCGGUCCCAGUUCGGAUUGGAGUCUGCAACUCGACUCCAUGAAGUUGGAUUCGCUAGUAAUGCCGUAUCAGCUACGACGGCGUGAAUACGUUCCCGGGUCUUGUACACACCGCCCGUCACGUCAUGGAAGUUGGCAACGCCUAAAGUCGGUGGGCUAACCCUCACGGGAGGCAGCCGCCUAAGGCGGGGUCGGCAACUGGGAC